Alexandromys fortis (reed vole) is the source of this 763-nucleotide long non-coding RNA. RefSeq lists it as uncharacterized. The transcript has 3 exons. The record is from RefSeq and is a predicted model, not a curated record. Lineage: Eukaryota; Metazoa; Chordata; Mammalia; Rodentia; Cricetidae.
CCCGGAGGCAGGAAAAAUCCAGGAAGUGCCUUCGUCUCUUGUCAGCUCCUUGUCCAGUGGCUGUGACAAACAACCUAAGGACAUAAAGAGUUUCUCUGUGUAGCCCUGACUGUCCUGGAACUUGCUCUGUAGACCAGGCUGGCCUCGGACUCACAGGACUGGCAAGCAGACCAAAGCUCUGGGCGGUUAAAGGAUGCUCAUCAGGUGUGAGGGAGAGCGCUCCUCUGUGUCAGCACGCAAGGAUGGAUGGCCAAGAGGACGGCGAGUGGCCAACAGGCCCUUACAUUUUUCUACAAGUUAGAAAGGAGAUCAAAAGAGGGAUGUGGACAAAAAGGACACAUAAGCCAUAAGAAAGGAUGCAAAGCUUUUUUUUUUUUCCUAGUUUCAACUCUGUCAAAGUUUUCCCCCCUCCAUAAUGGACAUGAGACUUCAAAUCUCUGGGUACUGGAGUACCAAAGAACCAUCUUUGCAUUGCAAAAGAUUCCAGCCUGUGUUCUUCCUUUGAGCAGUGACUGAAGGGGGAUAUCUUUUUAAUCCCACUGACCAUCAGGGCAGUAGGAAUUAGAUACCACUAAUCACUGAACACAUUUGUUAUGUUGACCCACUUCAAAAAAGUAUUUUUAAAAGAAAUUUGUUCUGUGGAGUGAGGGGUUUUAUAACUUAAAUGUUUUCUUUUUUUCCUUCUGCUUAACACUGUAUCAAAUUAUCCUACUAUAGGGCUGGAGAGAUGGCUCAGUGGUUAAGAGCACAUGCUGCUCCUCCA